UUGAGAGUUUGAUCCUGGCUCAGGAUGAACGUUGGCGGCGUGUCUAAGGCAUGCAAGUCGAGCGACGUACCUACCUUCGGGUAGGAAUACGAGCGGCAGACGGGAGAGUAACACAUUGGUAACCUACCUCCGAGACGGGAAUAGCUACGGGAAACCGUAGAUAACGCCCGAUAGUCAUGAGGGGACGUAAAGUCAUUCUCAUGUAAAUAAUUUAUUGCUCGGAGAGGGGCCUAUGUCUGAUUAGUUUGUUGGUGAGGUAAUGGCUCACCAAGACGAUGAUCAGUACCGGGCGUGAGAGCGUGACCCGGCUCACUGGGACUGAGACACUGCCCAGACUCCUACGGGAGGCUGCAGUCAAGAAUAUUCCACAAUGCACGAAAGUGUGAUGGAGCGACGCCGCGUGCAGGAAGACGCCCUUCGGGGUGUAAACUGCUUUUAUGUGGGAAGAAUUUGUGACGGUACCACAUGAAUAAGAGGUUGCUAACUCUGUGCCAGCAGCAGCGGUAAUACAGAGACCUCAAACGUUAUCCGGAUUCAUUGGGCGUAAAGCGUCCGCAGGUGGUUUUUUAAGUUGGUGGUCAAAUUUUCGGGCUUAACUCGGAAACUGCCACCAAUACUGGAAAACUUGAGGCUGGGAGAGGCACACGGAACUGUCGGUGUAGUAGUAAAAUGCGUUGAUAUCGACAGGAACACCAAAGGCGAAGGCAGUGUGCUAGAACAGUCCUGACACUCAUGGACGAAAGCGUGGGGAGCGAAGGGGAUUAGAUACCCCCGUAGUCCACGCCGUAAACGAUGUCUACUAGGUAUUGGCAGUAUCGACCCUGUCAGUGCCGUUCAAAAAAGCUAACGCGUUAAGUAGACCGCCUGGGGAGUACGGCCGCAAGGUUAAAACUCAAAGGAAUAGACGGGGACCCGCACAAGCGGUGGAUCAUGUGGUUUAAUUCGAUGAUACGCGGCAAACCUCACCAAGGCUUGACAUGUAGCUGCAAGCUCCCAGAAACGGGAGCCGCCUUCGAGGGCGCUACACAGGUGCUGCAUGGUUGCCGUCAGCUCGUGCCGUGAGGUGUACCCUUUAGUGGGGUAACGAGCGCAACCCUCGUGUUGUGUUAAAUGUACACAACAGACUGCCCGGGUAACCGGGAGGAAGGUGGGGACGACGUCAAAUCAGCAUGGCUCUUACGCCUUGGGCUACACACAUGAUACAAUGGCUGGUACAAUGGGCUGCCAACCCGCGAGGGGGAGCUAAUCCCAAAAAGCCAGUCUCAGUUCGGAUUGUAGGCUGAAAUUCGCCUACAUGAAGGUGGAAUCGCUAGUAAACGCGCAUCAGCACGGCGCGUUGAAUACGUUCUCGGGUCUUGUACUCACCGCCCGUCAUACCACGAAAGUUGGCAACAUCCGAAGGCUCUUUUUUAAGGGACGAAGGUGGGGUCAAUGAUCAGGGUAAAGUCGUAACAAGGCAUCCGUAGCGGAAGCUGUGGAUGGAUCACCUCCUUUCU
Molecule: ribosomal RNA, 1496 nt
Rfam family: Bacterial small subunit ribosomal RNA